This 660-nucleotide long non-coding RNA is filed under the name Malus domestica (apple). RNAcentral describes it as "long non-coding RNA (MDOM_LNC011214)". The record is from RNAcentral. Lineage: Eukaryota; Viridiplantae; Streptophyta; Magnoliopsida; Rosales; Rosaceae.
GGUUUUGCCAUCGGCUAAACUACACAAGGGAGGCUAGCUGCUUUCCAGUUUCAACGAGGCUGCUGGAUGAAACGGGGGCUGCAUUUCGGGCUCACAUGCUUUGCUGGCUUCUCAGCGUACUUCCUCGGCUCCACCGGCGAUUUCAGAUGUCUGUCCUCCAGUGACUUCAAAUUCUUCAAGACCGCAGCACUCUUUUCUAACCCCGCUGAUGUUCCAAAACAAAACUUGUGUCCAACAAUCAAACAGCAUAUUUGGAAACUACUUAAAAAGUUUUUCAUUCCAAACAACAACAAAGCCUUAUCCCACUAAACAGGGUCAGCUAUAUGAAUCCUACAACCCCGCUGCGCUAUGUUUUGUGCAUAAAAGUUUUUCAUUCCAAUUUACAAAAAUCUACAAUCGUUUAGAGUACCUGUUCUUACCAUUUUUACCUUCAGUAUGAGACAUCUGAAGGAACUCUUCAAACUGAGAUUCUUCUAGACUGGAGAAGUCAUCACCAACAUCGAGAUCAAAGGUCUCUGGAAGCAAAUCGGCGACAUUGUCAACUUCAUUCUGGGUAUUAUCAUAGAAGCCAUCCUCACCCUGUUGACUGAGCCAGUAAUCAUGGUACCAUGUGGAGGUUGUGACCAGUUGCCACCAUUCCGGGGAGAAAUCCUCCACCUG